This 775-nucleotide long non-coding RNA is filed under the name Gossypium barbadense (sea-island cotton). RNAcentral describes it as "long non-coding RNA (GBAR_LNC022409)". Lineage: Eukaryota; Viridiplantae; Streptophyta; Magnoliopsida; Malvales; Malvaceae. The record is from RNAcentral.
CUUACUCUUUCAUCAACAACAUUAACAUAUUUUUCGAGAUGAUCUUGAUAACCUUGAUCUAUAAACCACAACUCAAUAGAAGCGACCCAAGAGACAUAAUUAGUACUACAUUAGAGUUUGACAAUAGUAAUAGUAGGAGAAUUAAAGAAUGCAGAGAAAAGGGGAUUAGUAGAACUUGAAAGAUCCAAAAAUAAAAGAGAAGGAAAAUUAAUUAAAAAUAGAAGUUAUGGUUGAAAUAGUAUGGGUAGAACACCGUUGGGGGUAACGGAAUGGUAGCCGAAGGGUGCCACACGCGCUCUCACGUGUUAGCGUAUAGGAGAGGAGUAGAAAACUUGUAGUGGCGCAUGAGGGCUACUGCGUUGAUUUUGGUAAUGGGGUUUUAAUUGAAGGGUCAACAGGGACUAGGCAACUCAAUGGUAGGGGCGAUCAAAGUUGUUGUCUUUGGUACCAUGUAAAGUUGAUAGAGAGAGAUGGGUGAAUAAGAAUUUAGUAAAUUUUUUGUAGUGGCUAUUACAACUACGAAAAUUUAGAAGAAAAAAGAGAAAAGUAAGGGAAAUAGAGAGGAGAAAAGAGAAUAAAAAUUUUAAUAUGUUUCAUCUAUACUAGAGGUGAUCAUGGGUUGGGCUACCCGGCUAGGCCCGACAGCCCGCCCAAAAAAUGAGAGGGUUCGGGUAAAAAUAUAGGCUCAAAAUAUGGGUUUGGACAAAAAAACGAGGCAUGUUUAGAAAACAAGCUGGGCCUCGGGUAAAACUUUUUUGGCCCGGGCCCAGCCCGG